UGAUGCCACAGAAUGACUCAGCCGUGGUUUUGCGGCAAACUACACUCAAGCUUCAGACGCGGGUGGCGCUGUGGGUUAAACCACAGAGCCUAGGACUUGCUGAUCAGAAGGUCGGUGGUUCGAAUCCCCACGACGGGGUGAGCUCCCGUUGCUCGGUCCCUGCUCCUGCCAACCUAGCAGUUUGAAAGCACAUCAAAGUGCGAGUAGAUAAAUAGGUACCAGUCCGGCAGGAAGGUAAACGGCGUUUCCGUGCACUGCUCUGGUUCGCCAGAAGCGGCUUAGUCAUGCUGGCCACAUGACCCAGAAGCUGUGCUCCCUUGGCCAGUAAAAUGAGAUGAGCGCCACAACCCGAGUCGGUCACGACUGGACCCAAUGGUCAGGGGUCCCCUUUAUCUUACACUCAAGCGUGGUAUUAGUCAGAGCACAACUGUCCGCAUUGAAAGGCAAUCGCGUACCUGCAAAUUUACGGCCACGUGCACACAAGCAGAGAAUUAUUUGUGGCCCUGUAGAUACCGUAUUUUUUGCUCUAUAAGACUCACUUUUUCCCUUCUAAAAAGUAAGGGGAAAUGUGUGUGCGUCUUAUGGAGCGAAUGCAGGCUGCGCAGCUAUCCCAGAAGCCAGAACAGCACGAGGGCUUGCUGCUUUCACUGCGCAGCGAUCCCUCUUGCUGUUCUGGCUUCUGAGAUUCAGAAUAUUUUUUUUUCUUGUUUUCCUCCUCCCAAAACUAGGUGCGUCUUGUGGUCUGGUGCGUCUUAUAGAGCGAAAAAUACGGUAAGUCUUUUCAAAAGGGGCUCAACAGGGCAUACUCCUAAAUAAGGCCACCAUAUAGCUGGGAUAGCUCCGUCGGUGGAGCAUGAGACUCUUAAUCUCAAGGACGCAGGUUUGAGUCCCAAGUCAGGCAAAUAAAUAAAUAAAUCCCUGUAUUGCAGGGAAUUUGGGCUACGGAUGACCCUCGCAGCGCCUUCUGCCUCUAUAUUCCUAUGAUUUAAAGCACUCUUUAAAUCAGCUUUAAACUGUCAUGGCUUCCCCCAAAGAAUUCUGGGAGUUGUAGUUUGUUAAGGUGCUGAGAGCUAUAAGGAGGACCCUAUUCCCCCCUAUACCAGAGCUACAAUUCCCAGAGUUCUCUGUGAAGAAAUUUAUUGUUAAACCACUCUGGGAACUGUAGUGCCAUGAGGGGACAAUUUUCAGCACCCUUGACAAACUACAGUUCCCAGAAUUCUUUGAGGCGUAAGCCCAAACUGCUUAAAGUGGUAUCACGGUGCUUUAAAUAUACAGUGCGAAUGUGGCCUAACAUGGGAUAGGACUGCAAGGCUUAAUGUGUUUUCUUGCUGCGUAGAAGGUUUCCUCAUUGCUGUCCUGGCGGCUUAUAUAAUUGUUGGCUGCUCAGCUUGACCAAGAAACCGAUACCUCGCUAUUACACACACACAGUGUCCUGCUUGCCCAGGAAGCUGUAAAACCUCUCUGAUUCCUUCUGGAGUAAGCAAGUCGCAGACUCUGGAUUAAAAUACAGCACAAUCUGUGCCCAGUGUCCAGUUUUCAAACCAGACUCGCAACAUCACUGAAUCCUGUCCCCUCUAAAUGCCAAAGAUCACCAAUCCUCGUCGGGCGGGUUUCAGCGUUAAAGCACAUCUCUCUCACAAAUACCAGGGCAAGGCCAGACGUACCGGUUGCAAUUUCACAAGAGCAUUUUUGCUAGCCCAAAAAUGGAAAGCGAGCGAGGUUCCAGCCAAAGAAGAACGGCAACGUAAACUGAUGGAAUAUGCGCAGCUUGCAGAUUUAACAUACAGGAUAAGAGAACAAGAAGAACACACAUUUAAAGGAGACUGGAAAAUGUUUACUGAAUAUAUUGGGGAAAUUGUGUAGAUUUGAAAACGUGGGCGGCAUUUAGAUCAAUUCAACAGUGUAAACAAGUUUUGAUGGAUGUAACAAUGGAAUACUGAAUGGUUUAGUUCAUGUAAAAUAUGCAGGGAUGUAUGGUAUGCAAAAUGAACCGCGGAAAGAGAAGAAGGGAGCGGCAAAGGAUCCUAAUUGCUAAAAACUGGGAAAAAGAAACUGUGCCAACAAAAAAGGAAUGGCAAGAUAAACAGGCUAGAUUAACAGAGGCAUUCAGAGAUCACACUGGACAAGAGUUUCAAAAAGCAUGUGGAAAAUGCAGAGAAUACUUCACAAAACAGUGCCCUAAAAUACAUACCUGGACUUGUUUCGAUUAAUGUUUGCAGGAGACUUUGUGGAUAUUUAAGUUAUAAUUAGAAAAAUCUUAAUAAUUAUUCAUAAAGGAGUUUAUAAGAAGUAAAUAAGGAGGCCAGAUACAGGGUAAAGGAAGUCUUUUAUUUGGUUGUUUGUACUGAUGUAUGUUAUGCUCAUUGUAUGUUAAGUUCAUGUUUAAUGAGGGUGGAUUUGUGUAUUGGGGGGUUGGGGGGUUGUAUUAUGUUGUAAAUAAAAUUCCAAUAAAAAUAUAUUUUAAAAAAGGAAAGAGAAGAAGGAAAGUCAUUGGUUUCAGGUUGCCUAAAUGGAUAUUUGAAAUGUAAAUUAGAAAAAUUUAAUUAAAAUUUUAAUAAAAAAAUUAUGGUGGG
Podarcis lilfordi (Lilford's wall lizard) is the source of this 2573-nucleotide non-coding RNA. The record is from the annotation of a GenBank genome assembly. Lineage: Eukaryota; Metazoa; Chordata; Lepidosauria; Squamata; Lacertidae.